UAAGGAAUAUUGGUCAAUGGACGCAAGUCUGAACCAGCCAUGCCGCGUGCAGGAAGACGGUCCUCUGGAUUGUAAACUGCUUUUGUCAGGGAAGAAACCUUCGGAUGCGUUCGAAGCUGACGGUACCUGAAGAAUAAGGAUCGGCUAACUCCGUGCCAGCAGCCGCGGUAAUACGGAGGAUCCAAGCGUUAUCCGGAUUUAUUGGGUUUAAAGGGUGCGUAGGCGGCGUUGUAAGUCAGUGGUGAAAGUUUGCAGCUUAACUGUAAAAUUGCCAUUGAUACUGCAGUGCUUGAGUACAGAUGAGGUGGGCGGAAUGUGUCAUGUAGCGGUGAAAUGCAUAGAUAUGACACAGAACACCGAUUGCGAAGGCAGCUCACUAAGCUGUAACUGACGCUGAGGC
RNAcentral lists this ribosomal RNA (400 nucleotides) under uncultured bacterium. Its description in RNAcentral is "bacterial SSU rRNA". It matches the Rfam family "Bacterial small subunit ribosomal RNA", at positions 355 to 752 of the family's 1533-position model. The record is from RNAcentral.